This is a non-coding RNA of Chelmon rostratus (copperband butterflyfish), 536 nucleotides long. The record is from the annotation of a RefSeq genome assembly. Lineage: Eukaryota; Metazoa; Chordata; Actinopteri; Chaetodontiformes; Chaetodontidae.
UUGAACAUGAUGGACUAUAGGACAGGACUGCUGCUGUUAACUAUCUGCUGGGCAGGUGUUGAUGGUCAGACUCUGACAGAAUCUGAACCAGUGGUUAAAAGGCCUGGAGAAUCUCACAGACUGACCUGUACAGCCUCUGGAUUCACACUCAGCAGCUACCAGAUGCACUGGAUCAGACAGGCUCCUGGAAAAGGACUGGAGUGGGUUGCUUACAUCAGUGAAACUAGCAACUACAUCUACUACUCUGAGUCAGUGAAAGGCCGGUUUACCAUCUCCAGAGACAACAGCAGACAGCAGGUGUAUCUGCAGAUGAACAGUCUGAAGACUGAGGAUUCUGCUGUUUAUUAUUGUGCUCGAGAGCCGAGACUCACAGUGACUGAAGUUAGAUGAGCAGCUGUACAAAAACCUGCAGUCCUCAUCUUUCAGGUUGGCGGAGCCCAAGUAUGAAGUAUUUUUUUUAAUAUUCAUAACAUAUGUGUAUAUAUCAUGUAUAUUUUGUUCUAUAUAUUUUUUCUUUUAAAAUCUUUUAAAGUGAC